UNGGCUCUCAGGCAGUUUCAAUUAGGUCCUU
RNAcentral lists this non-coding RNA (31 nucleotides) under Mus musculus (house mouse). Lineage: Eukaryota; Metazoa; Chordata; Mammalia; Rodentia; Muridae. The record is from RNAcentral.